RNAcentral lists this unclassified non-coding RNA (345 nucleotides) under soil metagenome. Its description in RNAcentral is "partial contains 5.8S ribosomal RNA, internal transcribed spacer 2, and large subunit ribosomal RNA". The stretch from base 1 to 120 matches the Rfam family "5.8S ribosomal RNA", at positions 35 to 154 of the family's 154-position model. The record is from RNAcentral.
GAUGAAGAACGUAGCUAAAUGCGAUACGUAAUGUGAAUUGCAGAAUUCAGUGAAUCAUCGAGUCUUUGAACGCACAUUGCGCCCUCUGGUAUUCCGGAGGGCAUGCCUGUCCGAGCGUCAUUGCUGCCCUCAAGCACGGCUUGUGUGUUGGGCUCCGUCCCCCGAUCCCGGGGGACGGGCCCGAAAGGCAGCGGCGGCACCGCGUCCGGUCCUCGAGCGUAUGGGGCUUUGUCACCCGCUCUGUAGGCCCGGCCGGCGCUUGCCGAUCAACCAAAUUUUUAUCCAGGUUGACCUCGGAUCAGGUAGGGAUACCCGCUGAACUUAAGCAUAUCAAUAAGCGGAGGA